GUCUGCAUUCGAGGUGUCGGUUGGCUGCACUCCCUCUGAAGGGCUGCCUCUGUGGACACAUCACCUUCUCCUCUUCUCUGUUAACUCUCCCUGUACCUCACUUUUUCUUUUUUUAGAGACGGGAUUUCGCUGUGUUGCCAUGGCUGGUCUCGAACUCCUGGACUCAAGUGAUCCUCCUGCCUCAGCCUCCUGAGUGGAGACCACCACAUCUGGUAACCUCCUUCUUAUAAGGACGCUUGUGAUGACAUUUAGGGCCCGCCUGCAUAACCCAGGAUGAUCUCAUCGCAAGGUCCUUAACUGAAUCACACACCUGCAAAGAACUUUUCUCCAAGUAAGCCCGACCAGCCACCAUCUCUGACUUGGACUAUUGCAGCUAUCUUCUACCCAGACUCCCUCCUCCACCUCUGCCUCCUCUGAUCCAGUUUCCAUAGAAAAACCAAAGUGAUCUUUUGAAGAGGAUGCAGUACUUUGGUGUAUUCAACAUCUUUUCCAACUUCCUCCUAGUGUGCCUUUCUCUCCUGCAGAGGCUGGGAAGGUGAGGACUGUAUUUCCUAGACUCCAUGAAAUGUAGAUUCCAACUUAGGCUCUGCUUAAGUCAAAUGUAGGUGACCUGAGCUAGUGCAGUGAGGCAGGGAGAGUGCUGGCAGGGGGCAGGCGUUCGCUUCUGCAGGUGGGUCCAGCAGGUGUGGGUCUAGGGGUUGUGGCUCUAGCAGGUGUUGGUCUAACGAGUUUGGCUCCAGUAGAUGUGGGUCUAGGAGGUGUGGCUUCAGCAGGUGUGGGUCUGGCAGAUGUAGCUCCAGCAGGUGUGGGUCUAACAGGUGUGGCUCCAGCAGGUAUGUGUUUAGCAGGUGCAGUGCAGCUCUGCAGUUGUAGUUGCAGCUGUGGCCUGUGGACACUGGACUGCUGCCUGUGCGUUGUGUUCUGAGGCCAGCACGUGCAGCUCAUCUUCUGAUUUCCCAGCUUCCUCACUGAAGCAGAGGUAACGGCUCCCCUGGUGAGUGAGCUCGGCGGUGAUGUUCUACGAAUCCCUCCUUGAGACCCAGGCCAUGGCCUGCUCCUCCAGCCCAUCUAAUGACAUGUGAGCAGAUAAUUCUGUGUUAGCUGCCUUUCUUCUCAAAAAAGCCAGAGUGAUUUCUUUCAUGUUUUGUUGAACUGUGAAUACAAAAGGCCACCCUGAUUUAGUCACUUUCUGGCUCAUUGACCAUAGAAUAACACCCAACAUCCUUCAUGCGCCUAUCGUCCCUGGAUGACUUAGGCCCUUGCCUCCUUCGGGCACAUAUCACUCCCUUUUCUCUUCUGAUGACUCCCCCUCAUCAUCCUGGUCACAGCCUAAUGUCACUUCCCCAGAGAAGCCUCAUUCUUCAGUUGCGAAAAACAAGCCCCACAGACUGCGUGGCACCAACGACAGGUGUGAGUUUUCUCCCAGUUCCAGAGGCUGGAAGUCCAAGGUACUGUCAGCAGGGUGGUUCCUUCUGAGCCUCUUAGGGAAAGAUCUAUUCCUGGCCACUCUCCUGGGCUUUUAGAAGGCCAACUUCAGGUCCACACGGCUUUCUUUCUGUGUGUGUCCAAAUUUCCCCGUUUUAUAAGGACACCAGUGUUACUGGAUUAGGGCCCACCCUGAUGACUUCAUUUAACUGAGUCAAUCUGCCAUGAUCCUACUUACAAUUCCAAUUCCACUGUCAGGUACCGGGGGUUAGGACUUCACCCUGUGAAUUUGGGAGGAUGGACACAAUUCAUCCUCUAACAGCCAGGUUCUCAAUGUCUAACUUCUCCUCAAACUCUGCUCCUUCGUCAAAGCAGUCAACUCUGUGUGACGGUGCAGCUGCUGGUGGGUUAACAUUUGUCCUCAGCAGGGGAGACUGUUGGAUGGUCCCCCAGUGCUUAGCACAGGGCCUGAGGCAGAGCAAGUGCUGAAGAGGUAUUCAUUGGAUUUGUGGAUGAAUGAGUUGAGGAAUAAAUAAUUAUUUCUAAUAGCUGAUGAAAGACCUAAAAGGCCAAUGAGAAGCAAGUGGCCAAAUCACCCAAGACACAGUUGUUGAUCACACAGCUGUUAAAAUGUUUCUGAAGACUUUGUGACGAUGUGGGAAAAUGCUUAUGGUUUGACAUUGAAUGACAUGGUAGAAUACAACCAUUUAUGGAAUAUUACAUGAAGAAAGAACAGAAAAAUGAGAGUCCAGUGUUGAACUCACAAAAAAAUAUAUAUAUAAAUUGUGAUCAGAUUUUCCACAUUAAAUGUAUUAGUUCUUCUCAUUCAUUAAAUAAACAACUUCAUGUCAAAGCUAAAGAAAAAUUAGCAUCCCUAAAAAUUGGAGUCAUAUGAACUAUCCUUUAUUCAUUUUGGAGUAAAAGAUGGGAUGGCAGGAAAUACACAGGGCCUCAUUUCUACUUCUUUGGGCAAAUCUUAUUUUUAGUAACUUGCUUUGCCAUUAGUAAAACCACGUCUGGUCUUACGUAAAAACAAUGUGUUUGAACUUCUUAUUUUGUGUAUUUGCUCUUUAAAAUUUUUAAAAAACAUUUUUCUUACUUCAGAACUAAUGCAUGCUCAUUAAAAAGUUAAAUAUCAAAGUAAAACAAAAACAUAAAGCAACCUAAAAUUGUGCCUCAAAGCCAUAACCAUUAAUUACAUUUUGGUAAUGCUCCUCCAGAAUUUAUUCUAAAUACACAGAUAUGUAUAACACACACACACACAAGCAUUAUGCAGAAAUGAACCCGCACUCCAUGAGACCGCAAACUGCUUUUACAUUUUAAGAUAUUUGUUGCCCAUAUCUGGUGGUGUGGUCCCUAUGCCCCCCUCGUCCUGCUUUUUUUUUACCCAAGCAGUGACUCAGAUGCAGAGUCAUCAACCUAAGGUCUGAGAGAAGCAGCUGAGAUACAGGAAGGGGCCUGGCCGUCUUCUCAAGGGCAGAGUGAGCAGGCCCUGGGUCCCCGACUGGGUCACGCUGCCUGCUGCUCUGUGAGCCGGCUGCCUCUGUUUGUCAGGAAGACCGAGUUCACCACCGCGUGUGCUGGGGAGACUGGAUGGGCCACGUGUGGCAUUCUGGUUGGGUGGAAGCUGCCAUGUAAGUAGCAAAACAACAGAGCCAGGGCUGUCCUGCGCUUACUGGAGUUAAAAUCCCACCAUGUUUGCAGAAUUAUCUAAAGCUUCCAAAGGUUAUUGGAGUUAUUUCCGUUAUUCAGAGCUGUGACCAAGUUUGUGAAACUGUAUAACACGGUUAAGAACACGGAUUAAACAUCUUUUAAGGGGCAGUGGUGUUGGUAUGGGGUGUGGGUUCUCUGUGUGUGUGUGAGAGAGACAAUGUGUGUGUGUGCGCUUUACUAGCAAUUUAGUAAAUUGUAGUCUCCAUAUUUUGUUGUAAACCCAUAGUCCUUGUGUGUCCUCAAAAUUUCUGAAUGAUCAAUAAACAUUGUUUCAUGUUUGGUGAGUAAAAAAAUUAUAUCUUUGA
Molecule: non-coding RNA, 3443 nt
Organism: Macaca mulatta (Rhesus monkey)
Lineage: Eukaryota; Metazoa; Chordata; Mammalia; Primates; Cercopithecidae
Source: RefSeq, a predicted model, not a curated record